GACGAACGCUGGCGGCGUGCCUAAUACAUGCAAGUCGAACGCAGUGGGGACGGGUGAGUAACACGUGGGUAACCUCCCAUCAGAGGGGAUAACACUUGGAAACAGGUGCUAAACCGAUACUGAUGGAUGGACCCGCGGGGCAUUAGCGAGUUGGUGAGGUAACGGCUCACCAAGGCAACGAUGCAUCGCCGACGUGAUAGGGUGAUCGGCCACACUGGGACGGAGACACGGCCCAGACUCAUGCGGGAGGUGGCAGUAGGGAAUCUUCGACAAUGGACGAAAGUCUGACCAAGCAACAGCGCGGGAGUGAAGAAGGUUUUCGGAUCGUAAAACUCUGGUGUUAGAGAAGCGGUAUCUGACCAGAAAGCCACGGCUAAGUACGUGCCAGCAGCCGCGGUAAUAC
This 403-nucleotide ribosomal RNA is filed under the name uncultured bacterium. RNAcentral's name for it is "partial 16S ribosomal RNA". It matches the Rfam family "Bacterial small subunit ribosomal RNA", at positions 28 to 526 of the family's 1533-position model. The record is from RNAcentral.